RNAcentral lists this ribosomal RNA (334 nucleotides) under uncultured bacterium. Its description in RNAcentral is "bacterial SSU rRNA". It matches the Rfam family "Bacterial small subunit ribosomal RNA", at positions 28 to 366 of the family's 1533-position model. The record is from RNAcentral.
GACGAACGCUGGCGGCGUGCUUAACACAUGCAAGUCGAGCGGUAAGGCCCUUCGGGGUACACGAGCGGCGAACGGGUGAGUAACACGUGGGUGACCUGCCUUUAGCUCUGGGAUAAGCCUGGGAAACUGGGUCUAAUACCGGAUAUGACCUCAUGACGCAUGUUGUGGGGUGGAAAGCCUUGUGCGGCUUGAGAUGGGCCCGCGGCCUAUCAGCUUGUUGGUGGGGUGAUGGCCACCAAGGCGACGACGGGUAGCCGGCCUGAGAGGGCGACCGGCCACACCGGGACUGAGACACGGCCCAGACUCCUACGGGAGGCAGCAGUGGGGAAUCUUG